This 207-nucleotide ribosomal RNA is filed under the name uncultured bacterium. RNAcentral describes it as "partial 16S ribosomal RNA". It matches the Rfam family "Bacterial small subunit ribosomal RNA", at positions 568 to 774 of the family's 1533-position model. The record is from RNAcentral.
CGUGUAGGUGGUACGGUAAGUCAGAUGUGAAAGCCCUCGGCUCAACCGAGGAAGUGCAUUUGAAACUGCCGAACUAGAGUACGGGAGAGGGUUGUAGAAUUCCCGGUGUAGAGGUGAAAUUCGUAGAUAUCGGGAGGAAUACCGGUGGCGAAGGCGGCAGCCUGGACCGAUACUGACACUGAGACGCGAAAGCGUGGGGAGCAAACA